CCUACGGGGGGCAGCAGUGGGGAAUAUUGCACAAUGGGGGAAACCCUGAUGCAGCGACGCCGCGUGAGUGAAGAAGUAAGUCGGUACGUAAAGCUCUAUCAGCAGGGAAGAAAUACUGCCCUUACGGUCAGCAGAAGGUACCUGAGUAAGAAGACCCGGCUAACUACGUGCCAGAAGCCGCGGUAAUACGUAGGGGGCCAGCGUUAUCCGGAUUUACUGGGUGUGAAGGGAGCGUACACGGUGCGCCAAGGCUGGCGUGAAAUGCCGCGGCUUAACUGCGGAACUGCUUUGGAAAGUGGCGAACUCGAGUGCGGGAGGGGUAAGCGGAAUUCCUAGUGUAGCGGUGAAAUGCGUAGAUAUUAGGAGGAACACCGGUGGCGAAGGCGGCUUACUGGACCGUAACUGACGUUGAGGCUCGAAAGCGUGGGGAGCAAACAGGAUUAGAUACCCUUGUAGUC
This 458-nucleotide ribosomal RNA is filed under the name uncultured bacterium. Its description in RNAcentral is "partial 16S ribosomal RNA". It matches the Rfam family "Bacterial small subunit ribosomal RNA", at positions 338 to 795 of the family's 1533-position model. The record is from RNAcentral.